AUUGAACGCUGGCGGCAGGCCUAACACAUGCGAGUCGAACGGUAACAGGAAGAAGCUUGCUUCUUUGCUGACGAGUGGCGGACGGGUGAGUAAUGUCUGGGAAACUACCUGAUGGAGGGGGAUAACUACUGGAAACGGUAGCUAAUACCGCAUAAUGUCGCAAGACCAAAGAGGGGGACCUUCGGGCCUCUUGCCAUCGGAUGUGCCCAGAUGGGAUUAGCUAGUAGGUGGGGUAACGGCUCACCUAGGCGACGAUCCCUAGCUGGUCUGAGAGGAUGACCAGCCACACUGGAACUGAGACACGGUCCAGACUCCUACGGGAGGCAGCAGUGGGGAAUAUUGCACAAUGGGCGCAAGCCUGAUGCAGCUAUGCCGCGUGUAUGAAGAAGGCCUUCGGGUUGUAAAGUACUUUCAGCGGGGAGGAAGGGAGUAAAGUUAAUACCUUUGCUCAUUGACGUUACCCGCAGAAGAAGCACCGGCUAACUCCGUG
This 490-nucleotide ribosomal RNA is filed under the name uncultured bacterium. Its description in RNAcentral is "partial 16S ribosomal RNA". It matches the Rfam family "Bacterial small subunit ribosomal RNA", at positions 30 to 507 of the family's 1533-position model. The record is from RNAcentral.